RNAcentral lists this long non-coding RNA (361 nucleotides) under Citrus x clementina. Its description in RNAcentral is "Citrus clementina (C. clementina) long non-coding RNA (CCLE_LNC002984)". The record is from RNAcentral. Lineage: Eukaryota; Viridiplantae; Streptophyta; Magnoliopsida; Sapindales; Rutaceae.
CUCCGUUAACAUUCAUAUCAAUAUACGUACGAUAACAAAUCUUUUUUUACAAGUUCGAUCAAUGGAGAAAUCAUCUGCUCUCUUCCUUUUUUUACGGCACGAAGCACGGCACGGCACGAGCACGUCUUGGUAGAGCACGCGGCACGGCACGACACGCACGUGGGCUGUGCCGGGCUUAGAUUUUAGGCACGCGGGCCUUAAAAGCACGGCACGAUUAGAUAUGGGCCAAAGUACGGUACGCGAAAAAGCACGCAAUAAGCACGUUUUAUUUUUUAAUGAAAAUAAACUUAAAAUUUUAUUAUUUUAUAAAUAACUUGAAAUUGAAUCUUUUAAUAUCUUUAUUGGCUCAAGUUUUUUAAAU